Molecule: ribosomal RNA, 406 nt
Filed under: uncultured bacterium
Lineage: Bacteria
Description: partial 16S ribosomal RNA
Rfam family: Bacterial small subunit ribosomal RNA
Source: RNAcentral
AUUGAACGCUGGCGGCAGGCCUAACACAUGCAAGUCGAGCGAGCGGCGGACGGGUGAGUAAUGUCUGGGAAACUGCCCGCUGGAGGGGGAUAACUACUGGAAACGGUAGCUAAUACCGCAUACUACUAGAUGUUCCCAGAUGGGAUUAGCUAGUUGGUGGGGUAACGGCUAACCUAGGCGACGAUCCCUAGCUGGUCUGAGAGGCUGACCAGCAACACUGGAACUGAGACACGGUCCAGACUCCUACGGGAGGCAGAAGUGGGGAAUAUUGCACAAUGGGGGAAAGCCUGAUGAAGCAAUGCCGCGGGGGUGAAGAAGGCCUUCGGGUUGUAAAGCACUUUCAGCGGGGAGGCGUUAACCACAGAGGAAGCACCGGCUAACUCCGUGCCAGCAGCCGCGGUAAUAC